RNAcentral lists this ribosomal RNA (268 nucleotides) under Vibrio parahaemolyticus. RNAcentral's name for it is "partial 23S ribosomal RNA". It matches the Rfam family "Bacterial large subunit ribosomal RNA", at positions 2038 to 2305 of the family's 2925-position model. Lineage: Bacteria; Pseudomonadati; Pseudomonadota; Gammaproteobacteria; Vibrionales; Vibrionaceae. The record is from RNAcentral.
GAAAUUGAAAUCGCUGUGAAGAUGCAGUGUACCCGCGGCUAGACGGAAAGACCCCGUGAACCUUUACUACAGCUUGGCACUGAACAUUGACCCUACAUGUGUAGGAUAGGUGGGAGGCUUUGAAGCAGGUACGCCAGUAUCUGUGGAGCCGUCCUUGAAAUACCACCCUUGUAGUGUUGAUGUUCUAACGUCGACCCCUUAUCGGGGUUGCGGACAGUGCCUGGUGGGUAGUUUGACUGGGGCGGUCUCCUCCCAAAGAGUAACGGAG